UGGGGGAUAUUGGGACAAUGGGCGCAAGCCUGAUCCAGCAAUGCCGCGUGUGUGAAGAAGGCCUUCGGGUUGUAAAGCACUUUUGUCCGGAAAGAAAUCCUUGGCUCUAAUACAGUCGGGGGAUGACGGUACCGGAAGAAUAAGCACCGGCUAACUACGUGCCAGCAGCCGCGGUAAUACGUAGGGUGCAAGCGUUAAUCGGAAUUACUGGGCGUAAAGCGUGCGCAGGCGGUUUGCUAAGACCGAUGUGAAAUCCCCGGGCUUAACCUGGGAACUGCAUUCGUGACUGCAAGGCUAGAGUAUGGCAGAGGGGGGUAGAAUUCCACGUGUAGCAGUGAAAUGCGUAGAGAUGUGGAGGAAUACCGAUGGCGAAGGCAGCCCCCUGGGCCAAAUACUGACGCUCAUGCACGAAAGCGUGGGGAGCAAACAGGAUUAGAUACCCUGGUAGUCCACGCCCUAAAACGAUGUCAACUAGUUGUUGGGGAUUCAUUUCCUUAGUAACGUAGCUAACGCGUGAAGUUGACCGCCUGGGGAGUACGGUCGCAAGAUUAAAACUCAAAGGAAUUGACGGGGUCAUAGCU
This 581-nucleotide ribosomal RNA is filed under the name uncultured bacterium. Its description in RNAcentral is "partial 16S ribosomal RNA". It matches the Rfam family "Bacterial small subunit ribosomal RNA", at positions 355 to 926 of the family's 1533-position model. The record is from RNAcentral.